Molecule: long non-coding RNA, 689 nt
Organism: Oncorhynchus tshawytscha (Chinook salmon)
Lineage: Eukaryota; Metazoa; Chordata; Actinopteri; Salmoniformes; Salmonidae
Source: Ensembl
GUUAGGAUCAGGGUCUGGGUUAGGUUCAGGUUUAGGGUCUGGGUUAGGGUCAAGGUCUGGGUUAGAAUUGGGGUUAGGUUCAGGGUUAGAUUCAGGGUUAGGGUCUGGGUUAGGAUCAGGGUUAGGGUCUGGGUUAGGGUCUGGGUUAGGAUCAGGGUCUGGGUUAGGGACAGGGUCUGGGUUAGGAUCAGGGUUGGGGUAUGGGUUAGGUUCAGGGUUAGGGUCUGGGUUAGGAUCAGGGUCUGGGUCAGGAUCAGGGUCUGGGUUAGGAUCAGGGUCUGCGUUAGGAUCAGGUUCUGGGUUAUGAUCAGGGUCUGGUUUAGGUCAGGGUCUGGGUCUGGGUUAGGAUCAGGGUCUGGUUUAGGACAGGGUCUGGGUUAGGAUCAGGGUCUGGGUUAGGAUCAGGGUCUGGGUUAGGAUCAGGGUCUGGGUUAGGAUCAGGGCCUGAAGGGCUCAGACGUCUGUGAAUCAGCAGCAGUCAGUGGGAUGAGUGGAGAGACAGCACAAUGAGAGAGUGAGGGACUGACGAGGGAUGGGGAAAAAUACAGUGUACAUUUUCACACCUCUGUGGGAGGAGCCUGACCUUGGGUUAGUACACUGGCCAAUCACACACACACACAAACACAGCCGCUCGGUAGUGGAACUUCUGUCACAGAACACCAGGGUUGUAAACACUGUGGAAACUAAGU